RNAcentral lists this ribosomal RNA (497 nucleotides) under uncultured bacterium. RNAcentral's name for it is "partial 16S ribosomal RNA". It matches the Rfam family "Bacterial small subunit ribosomal RNA", at positions 28 to 507 of the family's 1533-position model. The record is from RNAcentral.
GAUGAACGCUGGCGGCGUGCCUAAUACAUGCAAGUCGAGCGAACAGACGAGGAGCUUGCUCCUCUGACGUUAGCGGCGGACGGGUGAGUAACACGUGGAUAACCUACCUAUAAGACUGGGAUAACUUCGGGAAACCGGAGCUAAUACCGGAUAAUAUAUUGAACCGCAUGGUUCAAUAGUGAAAGACGGUUUUGCUGUCACUUAUAGAUGGAUCCGCGCCGCAUUAGCUAGUUGGUAAGGUAACGGCUUACCAAGGCAACGAUGCGUAGCCGACCUGAGAGGGUGAUCGGCCACACUGGAACUGAGACACGGUCCAGACUCCUACGGGAGGCAGCAGUAGGGAAUCUUCCGCAAUGGGCGAAAGCCUGACGGAGCAACGCCGCGUGAGUGAUGAAGGUCUUCGGAUCGUAAAACUCUGUUAUUAGGGAAGAACAAAUGUGUAAGUAACUAUGCACGUCUUGAAGGUACCUAAUCAGAAAGCCAAGGCUAAAUACGUG